AUAGCCUAUUGAUCUCACUUUCAUUUUAGUUAAGAGUGUUGGGGGCCACAAAAAAUCGCAUCGAGGGCCGCAUGUGGCCCGCGGGCCGCCAGUUUGACACCCCUGCUCUAGCCCAACGCCAGAGAACCAUUAAAAGUUUCCCUUUAUAUCUAGAGAAUUUUUGGUGUAAGAAAAUUCGUAUUCCUCAUUCCAAGUAGCGGUCCGACUUUUUUUUAAAUAUAUAACCGCGCCAGUAAUUAUUGGUUGUCCUCUAAACAAAACAUGGCAAUCCAUAGAAAUUAUUUUACAUGAAUUUUUCGUUCCUAAAAUGUAACAGGCUUUUUUCAUUCUCUACAACUUGCGAUUUUUAUUCACUUUUUCAAAAUUCCAUAUAAUCGCCGAAUAUUCGUUUCAUUAAACUAGAGAAAUUUUUUAACCGAAGACAUCUGGUGUGUGAAAAUUAAAACCGAAUUUUUUUUUAAUAAAAAUAUUUACGAAUAGAAUCUUUUUUUUUUUUUUUUUCCCAUCCAAAUAAUGCCGUGUGGAAAUUAAAUUUUUCUAUUUGGCAUAUUUAACGGAGUAUUGUCAACCGGCCUUGUCACUAGGAAAAAGAUGUUUUACAUUGUUAGUUUUAUCGAUAUUAAAGAAUCGAUUGAGGUCCCUGAACGGAUAGAAUGGUGCCGAACUUAAUCAGAAAAUUGUUCAGAUAAGGGCUCGUUUUUCUUCAUUACUCAUUUUCAUUUUUAAAAAAAUCAAAUUUACAGUAUUGUGUUAAACCCUAUUUUAGGAAUUUUGGUUAUUGUAUUAGUUAAAAAGUACUUAUGAAAUAAAUAAUAAUACGAAAAGUUUUAAAAACAUAAUGUGUCGCGAGCAAUUUUAAAAACUUACUGUGAUCGACUGGUGACCGUAUCUCCAAUGUAUAACAACAACGAAAAGUAAAAAUUCGAUCCUAAUUUUCAGAAUAACGAGAAAAAUGAUUUUUUAUAUUACGCCAUAUGUUCACCACCGUCAUUAUUAUGCUUGUAUAAUUCCUGAAAUAUCCUUUGAGAGAUCAUCGGUAUUGAAAAGAACCAAUGAACUUUCCCCCACUAGCUUUACAGAAGGGGAACAAAAUCGCCCCGAGUCCAGUGGCAAAUGCUAUAAAAAUCUGUUAAACAUCAAAAGAUUUCCAUUUAAAAAUUACAUAAAGUUGGACUAAAAUUUCAUCCAAUAGUGUUUCUUCGCAAAAACCCGGAAAGUUUAAAGGUCGACUAUUUAAAAAGACCGAUCUUCAAAUUGAUGUCAUGGCCAGCUUCUGCCAUGCCUGGACUUUCCUCAAAAUUUAUGAAAAAUCCCACGAAUACAAGAUAUUGAAUCUGACAAGUUCGUCAGUUAUUUUAAAAAAUGGCCACCUGACUUUUAGUCACUCUACUUAUUCUCAGGAUUACGGUGGUGGUACUUGGCAGGUUCAGUUUCAAUAAUCUUAACUUUUAAUAAUACUCUAAAGGGUAUCAAAGGACAAAAAAAUGGUAUGGUAUAUUUGUUGCGAUUCCUUAAAAGGCUAACAAGAUAUUCGGGAUUAUUUUUAAAUGAGCUUUAAUUUAUUAUAAGUCUUUUUGGUUAUUCAUUUAGAAUUAAACUCUUCCUAUUAAUUGUAAAUAAUAAUAGGUAAACUUUAUUGAUGCUUAACCCACACACACCCUUAAAGUUUCAAUUUUCUGCCUUCCUCAGUAACACAGUAUAUAUAAAAUUCUAA
This 1714-nucleotide long non-coding RNA is filed under the name Androctonus crassicauda. The record is from RNAcentral. Lineage: Eukaryota; Metazoa; Arthropoda; Arachnida; Scorpiones; Buthidae.